UAACAGGAUUAGAUACCCUGGUAGUCCACGCCGUAAACGUUGGGCGCUAGAUGUAGGGACCUUUCCACGGUUUCUGUGUCGUAGCUAACGCAUUAAGCGCCCCGCCUGGGGAGUACGGCCGCAAGGCUAAAACUCAAAGGAAUUGACGGGGGCCCGCACAAGCGGCGGAGCAUGCGGAUUAAUUCGAUGCAACGCGAAGAACCUUACCAAGGCUUGACAUACACCGGAAACGGCCAGAGAUGGUCGCCCCCUUGUGGUCGGUGUACAGGUGGUGCAUGGUUGUCGUCAGCUCGUGUCGUGAGAUGUUGGGUUAAGUCCCGCAACGAGCGCAACCCUCGUUCUAUGUUGCCAGCGCGUUAUGGCGGGGACUCAUAGGAGACUGCCGGGGUCAACUCGGAGGAAGGUGGGGAUGACGUCAAAUCAUCAUGCCCCUUAUGUCUUGGGCUUCACGCAUGCUACAAUGGCCGGUACAAAGGGCUGCGAUACCGUAAGGUGGAGCGAAUCCCAAAAAGCCGGUCUCAGUUCGGAUUGAGGUCUGCAACUCGACCUCAUGAAGUCGGAGUCGCUAGUAAUCGCAGAUCAGCAACGCUGCGGUGAAUACGUUCCCGGGCCUUGUACACACCGCCCGUCAAGUCAUGAAAGUCGGUAACACCCGAAGCCGGUGGCCUAACCCUUGUGGAAGGAGCCGUCGAAGGUGGGAUCGGUGAUUAGGACUAAGUCGUAACAAGGUAACCA
This 735-nucleotide ribosomal RNA is filed under the name uncultured bacterium. RNAcentral describes it as "bacterial SSU rRNA". It matches the Rfam family "Bacterial small subunit ribosomal RNA", at positions 770 to 1502 of the family's 1533-position model. RNAcentral also lists the same sequence under 1 other name. The record is from RNAcentral.